AGUCGACGCGGGCACUUGUGCCCGAGUGGCGAACGGGUGAGUAAUACAUAAGUAACCUGGCCUUUACAGGGGGAUAACUGCUGGAAACGGCAGCUAAGACCGCAUAGGUAGGGACACUGCAUGGUGACCGUAUUAAAAGUGCUGCAAGGCACUGGUAGAGGAUGGACUUAUGGCGCAUUAGCUGGUUGGUGAGGUAACGGCUCACCAAGGCGACGAUGCGUAGCCGACCUGAGAGGGUGACCGGCCACACUGGGACUGAGACACGGCCCAGACUCCUACGGGAGGCAGCAGUAGGGAAUUUUCGGCAAUGGGGGGAACCCUGACCGAGCAACGCCGCGUGAAGGAAGAAGGAAUUCGUUCUGUAAACUUCUGUUAUAAAGGAAGAAAGACGGAUGGAGGAAAUGACAUCCGAGUGACGGUACUUUAUGAGAAAGCCACGGCUAACUACGUGCCAGCAGCCGCGGUAAUACGUAGGUGGCAAGCGUUAUCCGGAAUUAUUGGGCGUAAAGAGGGAGCAGGCGGCAGCAAAGGUCUGUGGUGAAAGACUGAAGCUUAACUUCAGUAAGCCAUAGAAACCGGGCAGCUAGAGUGCAGGAGAGGAUCGUGGAAUUCCAUGUGUAGCGGUGAAAUGCGUAGAUAUAUGGAGGAACACCAGUGGCGAAGGCGACGAUCUGGCCUGCAACUGACGCUCAGUCCCGAAAGCGUGGGGAGCAAAUAGGAUUAGAUACCCUAGUAGUCCACGCCGUAAACGAUGAGUACUAAGUGUUGGAAGUCAAAUUUCAGUGCUGC
RNAcentral lists this ribosomal RNA (789 nucleotides) under uncultured bacterium. Its description in RNAcentral is "bacterial SSU rRNA". It matches the Rfam family "Bacterial small subunit ribosomal RNA", at positions 60 to 849 of the family's 1533-position model. The record is from RNAcentral.